Molecule: long non-coding RNA, 675 nt
Filed under: Amphimedon queenslandica
Lineage: Eukaryota; Metazoa; Porifera; Demospongiae; Haplosclerida; Niphatidae
Description: uncharacterized LOC109583681, transcript variant X1
Source: RNAcentral
AUCAAAAUUUUAUUUGAAUUAAUGUUUAGUUGUUCAAAUUAAAUAGUGUGUUGUCAAUGUAUUUGAAAAAAGGUAGGGGUGCACACACAGAAGUUUAACUUUUCAGACUAUACAAACAUACUAUGAAGUGGUAUGUACAAACUUACAAAUUUUAGUUUAUUAUUGCAACAGUUUGUACCCAAACAAGACAGCUCCAUUGACGGUGGUGCUUAUCUGUGCAAAUUAUGCAUAUCUAAUAUGUUAUUGUUAAAAUUAAUUGACUUUUAGUUUGCCUAUACAUCAUACUGUGUUGUGAUGGAGUGUUCUGAUAUGUUGUCCAAGUAUAAAUUCUAUUGUAAUGGUUAUGCUCUGUCAUAACAUUGUUUAUUAGAUAACUUCAAAAUUUUUGAGGCAAUGGCUUAUGACUCUCAUGCUUCAAAGUUUCAGGUGGAAGACAAUAACUAUUAGCGUUGCAACCAGAGUUAGCAACUCUUUACAAUGAUUUACAAGCAUUGAAAAGGGAUUUGCAAAAAAAGUGUGGCAUUCCUAGCCCAGGAUAACUACUUUUUAGGCUAGAUUCUAAAGCUCAAUAUAACUAUUUCAAAGGGUCUCCUUAUCUUUAAAGAGCAGUGAUUUCAAGGAUAUCGAACUAUUAUUGUUUUAAUUGUGUAAUUAAAUGAAAUCAGUAUCUCAGUA